RNAcentral lists this ribosomal RNA (253 nucleotides) under uncultured bacterium. Its description in RNAcentral is "partial 16S ribosomal RNA". It matches the Rfam family "Bacterial small subunit ribosomal RNA", at positions 524 to 776 of the family's 1533-position model. The record is from RNAcentral.
UACGAAGGGGGCUAGCGUUGUUCGGAUUUACUGGGCGUAAAGCGCACGUAGGCGGAUUGUUAAGUCAGGGGUGAAAUCCUGGAGCUCAACUCCAGAACUGCCUUUGAUACUGGCAAUCUUGAGUCCGGAAGAGGUGAGUGGAACUCCUAGUGUAGAGGUGGAAUUCGUAGAUAUUAGGAAGAACACCAGUGGCGAAGGCGGCUCACUGGUCCGGUACUGACGCUGAGGUGCGGAAGCGUGGGGAGCAAACAGG